This is a long non-coding RNA of Ictalurus punctatus (channel catfish), 1099 nucleotides long. NCBI's taxonomy places the organism in Eukaryota, Metazoa, Chordata, Actinopteri, Siluriformes, Ictaluridae. The record is from Ensembl.
CACCAUUGGUCCACUACAGCUCCUCCUCUAGUCAGUCAGUUGAAGAGGGGAGUUGACGUCACUCCACUGCGAGUCAUAGCUGUUGUGUUCAUAGACGUACAUAGCCUUAUAUCCUGGACCACAUGACUCCACAUGCCGAAGCAUCCUUGGGCAAGACACUGAACCCCAUGUUGCUCCCAAUGAGAAACCUACUCCCCUUUCUCCCAGCUGAUACUAGUGAAACGACUCAACCCCAGGAAGGUUGGAGAAGCCGCCUUUGAACCUCCCACAACUGUGAUAGCCCUCGCUCGCACAGCCGUACUCAUUGACUCUCAACCCCGGUGGAUUCACACCAGUAGACUGAAACAGUGCCUGACCAGAACCAGCUCAUCUGAGAAUGGAUGAAAAUUCACAAUCAAGCAGCCCUUAGGGGGCCUCCUCUUGUCUCACCUAAGCACAUACACAUAUAGAUUUUCUUGUAUUAGCCUUGAGAACACACACAAGUAACAAGCAACAACUCAUGCCCUGUCUGAUGGGAGCAUGUGAGGGGUGGGAGCUGUUGAAGCUCAUGGAUCCCUCAUGGGCGUUCCUUGCUGUUUAUGGGAAGAGUGUAUGUAGGUCCAGUUGGGACCUAAGAAGGCAUUGAUAAGUUUACUGUGAACACUCUUCCCUCUCAAUCCCUUGUUAACAUUUUGUAAAGAUUAAAGAAUUAAAUGUAAAGAAUAAUAUUGGCUGUGUUUGCUAGCAAGCAAGCUAAAUCUACACUAGCAGCUGAGAGUAAAGAAUGAAAUUUGCCAUGUUCGCUAGCAAGUGAGCAAAUUGCUACAUGUAAAGAAUGAAAUUAGCCAUGUUUGGAAGCAAGUGAGAUAACGCUAAAUGUUUUGUGUGAACAAUAAAAUUAGCCAUGUUCACUAGCAAGCUUGCGAACACUAUGCUAGCUGCUGCAUGUAAACAAUGAAAUUAGCAAUGUUUGUGAGCUAAAGCUAUGCUAACCACUGCAUGUAAAGAAUAAAAUUAGCUAUGUUCUAUCUAUCUAUCUAUCUAUCUAUCUAAUCAACUCUACAAUGAUUGGCACUCUGUCUUUCAGACUUUAUUUCUAGGAUUAGUAACCCUAACCCCA